AAUAAUUUUAAAUAAUAGAAUUUAUUUUAAAAUCAAAUUAACAUUUUGUUACACCGAUCUUAUACGACAUUUGUAUUACAACACGACCACCUUACUCGACUAUAAGUACAUCUUAACUAUAAAUUACAGUUUAGUAAUACAUAAUAUUUUAAUAUAACCUCUUACAUACAUACAUAAUAAAGUUUAUUUUGUUCAUUUUUAAACAAAAAAGAAAUUAGAACAAACACUGACAAGUUUUUGUUACAUGAAAACAUAAAAUUGCCAGUAGUUUAUUCUGUUUUUAGUACACAAAAAUUGCAAUUGUUAUUUAUUACGAACUACUUAUGAAUGAAGCAAUUCCCGACAACCUAAAGUAAGAAGAAUGCGAAUAAUGGAAAUGAUUCAUGAUUAUUAAAACUAAAGGGCUAGGCUUCAAUACAUUUAUUCUAUAACAGAAACAAUAACCGUAACUGUAACCAUAACCGGUGUUUUUGUAUGGAGUUUUACAGAUUUUUAUAGUUAAAGCAAGAUGAUGCAACCCAGGCUAAUAGUUCUCAAAACAAAAUAAUUGUUAAAAUAUUUAUUGGGUAGUCGACAACACUAAAUUUUAAUAAUUGAUCCUCGAGUCAAAACGCGAUUCUGCCAUAAAAUAUUCUACUCGUAGAACCUUUGAUGUUAUUUAUUUACCAACUCGAUUAACCUAUUUAUAGUCUCAAGUAACUAUAAUCUAAUUUAUCUAUUAUUUUCAAAUUAAUUCGGUAUUCGAGACUGAAACCAAAUGUUUUAGAGACGAUUUAAUGUUGUCAACUAACCAUUUAUAAAACUGAUUAGUCCAAGGGCCUGUUUCACGACCUCAGAAUAAAGUUCUAAGUUUAACUUCUUGCUGAAUGUGCUAUUCUGGAAGUAACUAGAACUUAGUUAGUUCAUCGCCAGCGUCGCUGCAGGAGGCCUGUAGCGGCGUAGACAAGCUGCUUGCUUGAGGGGAUCUAGGGUGGUUGGAGUAGGAAGAAUAAAACCAUAAGUAGCGCACAAUGGCCCAAUCAAGAGGCUAAUGCCCGUUUUUACAAUCAAUCCCUAAUUUUUAAGUGACCCCUAUGGUAACACUUCACAGAAAAUUUUCAAAGGGGUCACUUAAAAAUUAGAGAUUGAUGGUGAAAACGGGCAUAAGUGCGGUAUUCGAUUGCCCUGCAAAACUAACUAGUUAAACUAGAACUUAUUCAGAGAUCGUGAAUGCCCUUAUAGUCGUAUAAUAUUCUGAAAACUAUGUAACAUCGGGUCACGAGGCCGGUUGCACUUCCCCAAAAGUUUAAUCAUUCGCUAACUCCUAAUCGUUUGUUAGCAAUUGGCAGGCGGCCAGCAAAGUUCAGUCGGUCCAAUUUUGUCGACCGUUGAAUGAUAGCAAGCUGUUCUGGUAUUUCCAAAGCCAAAAUUUAACUUCGGAUUAAAUAUAGAACAGCUGGCCUCUGGUAUCCAUGGAUGAUUUGAUGGGAUUGGGGUCACGGUCGUUGAAUCGAUCUAAAAGUUCGAGGGCCCUUCGCUUCGUUGUUAUACAAAACAAACUUCCAUGAUGUUGGUAAGAAAACCGAACUUUUGCGUUUCCGUGCUUAUAGACAAUUUAGGAUCGAUUUGGAUUUGCGAUUAAUAUUAAUUAAUUACGUACACGAAUUACGUAAAAAAGUAGCGGUUGCCAUUUACAUUACAGGGUAGAUAUCGUACCUACCAUCAUAGGCUGCAUCUCAGAUUGCGGUCAAAUACCUGCCUUGUCAUGCAUAAAUAAAUAAAACUUUAACGAAUGUCAGAUUGAUCUAGAGACACUAAUAAACUUUUGGGUAAACCAAUCGUAAAAACGAUCAACAAAAGCACCAAAGUCAAAGUAAACAUUGUGGCAUCUUAAAAAAUUAUAAUAAGUCCUGUUUUACCACAAAAUCUUAUUUUUGCUGCGAAAUCACCCUUAUUACAAGUACAUACGACUAAAGUGUAUAACUUGAUGUGCCUGUACAUAAAACAAGUCUAAAGCCGACAAUAAAAAGAGACUGAAGAGUUCGGGUCGUUAAUUUUUACUGGUGUUUCUAAACAAUUGAGUCGUAAACUCGUAGAUUAGGUACUAAAAAUUUCAGGAAGAUUUAUUGGAACAAAAAGUUAUCUCAUCAUUAUUUCUCCUUACAUUCUAAAUGACAAUGAAAAUAAAAAUAAAUAAAAUAAUUACUUUGAAGUAAAUAUUUGUUCGAGGUACCGUCUUGAACAUGCUUUUAGUGUUAAAUGUUAAUUUCGGUUUUAGAUGAUAGAUGGCAUUGUUCUUACUUAGAUCGCGAUAUCUAAAUAUUUUUUCCGGCUUAUAAGUACUUGAGUCUGAUUUAUUAAUAAAUUGUCUAUGCUCUGGAA
Ostrinia furnacalis (Asian corn borer) is the source of this 2361-nucleotide long non-coding RNA. RefSeq lists it as uncharacterized. NCBI's taxonomy places the organism in Eukaryota, Metazoa, Arthropoda, Insecta, Lepidoptera, Crambidae. The record is from RefSeq and is a predicted model, not a curated record. The transcript has 2 exons.